This is a long non-coding RNA of Lepidothrix coronata (blue-crowned manakin), 516 nucleotides long. RefSeq lists it as uncharacterized. NCBI's taxonomy places the organism in Eukaryota, Metazoa, Chordata, Aves, Passeriformes, Pipridae. The transcript is spliced from 4 exons. The record is from RefSeq and is a predicted model, not a curated record.
CGGCCACGCCGUGAGGGGAAGAGGCGGGAGCGCCGUGAGGGGAGGAGGAGCCGCCAUGACGCGACGAGGCGGGACUGUCGUGACGGUUGGCAACACCCGAGUGACCAUAGACUUCUACACUCCCUGAUUAUGAAAUGCAGAGCAGCUGAAUUCCAUAGGAGAGCUCUUUCCAGAGUCUGGGAGCAUCACACAGGAUGAAGGCAGAGGUCCAGUGGAGCUGGUGGUCCUUGUGUUCCUCAGGAGUGAGAAGUGGUGUGGCCAAACUGACUCGGGAAGGUUUUUGCAUCAUGUUUUGGUUAAACUCCCACUGCGCUCGGAGGAAGGCGCUGGCUGACUCCGCUUCCCACCCCAGGGGACGGUCCUGCCCGCGGUGAUGGGCGCGAUGCCCGAGGAGCGGGAUCGGGAUCGGGAUGGGGACGGCGCCUCUCCCUCCCUCGGCCCCGCAGUGCGGAGACGCCCGGGACGCCUUCGGUCACAUCCAGGGUGAGCGAACCCGAGUGCGGGUGGCUCGGGGCC